UGGGGAAUAUUGGACAAUGGGGGCAACCCUGAUCCAGCCAUGCCGCGUGUGUGAAGAAGGCCUUUUGGUUGUAAAGCACUUUAAGCAGUGAAGAAGACUCCAUGGUUAAUACCCAUGGACGAUGACAUUAGCUGCAGAAUAAGCACCGGCUAACUCUGUGCCAGCAGCCGCGGUAAUACAGAGGGUGCAAGGGUUAAUCGGAAUUACUGGGCGUAAAGCGAGCGUAGGUGGCUUGAUAAGUCAGAUGUGAAAGCCCCGGGCUUAACCUGGGAACGGCAUCUGAUACUGUUAGGCUAGAGUAGGUGAGAGGAAGGUAGAAUUCCAGGUGUAGCGGUGAAAUGCGUAGAGAUCUGGAGGAAUACCGAUGGCGAAGGCAGCCUUCUGGCAUCAUACUGACACUGAGGUUCGAAAGCGUGGGUAGCAAACA
This 427-nucleotide ribosomal RNA is filed under the name uncultured bacterium. RNAcentral's name for it is "partial 16S ribosomal RNA". It matches the Rfam family "Bacterial small subunit ribosomal RNA", at positions 355 to 774 of the family's 1533-position model. The record is from RNAcentral.